UUUGGUUAAGUUAGAAAGGGCGCACGGUGGAUGCCUUGACACUAGGAGUCGAUGAAGGACGGGACUAACGCCGAUAUGCUUCGGGGAGCUGUAAGUAAGCUUUGAUCCGAAGAUUUCCGAAUGGGGAAACCCACCAUACG
RNAcentral lists this ribosomal RNA (140 nucleotides) under Martinezella rhizogenes. RNAcentral's name for it is "Rhizobium rhizogenes partial 23S ribosomal RNA". It matches the Rfam family "Bacterial large subunit ribosomal RNA", at positions 1 to 137 of the family's 2925-position model. Lineage: Bacteria; Pseudomonadati; Pseudomonadota; Alphaproteobacteria; Hyphomicrobiales; Rhizobiaceae. The record is from RNAcentral.